This 494-nucleotide ribosomal RNA is filed under the name uncultured bacterium. RNAcentral describes it as "partial 16S ribosomal RNA". It matches the Rfam family "Bacterial small subunit ribosomal RNA", at positions 28 to 523 of the family's 1533-position model. The record is from RNAcentral.
GAUGAACGCUAGCGGCAGGCUUAACACAUGCAAGUCGAGGGGUAUAGGCUUUCGGGCCUAGAGACCGGCGCACGGGUGCGUAACGCGUAUGCAAUCUGCCUUACACUAAGGGAUAGCCCAGAGAAAUUUGGAUUAAUACCUUAUAGUAUAUUGAUGUGGCAUCACAAUGAUAUUAAAGAUUUAUCGGUGUAAGAUGAGCAUGCGUCCCAUUAGCUUGUUGGUGUGGUAACGGCAUACCAAGGCAAUGAUGGGUAGGGGUCCUGAGAGGGAGAUCCCCCACACUGUUACUGAGACACGGACCAGACUCCUACGGGAGGCAGCAGUGAGGAAUAUUGGACAAUGGGCGCAAGCCUGAUCCAGCCAUGCCGCGUGCAGGAUGACGGUCCUAUGGAUUGUAAACUGCUUUUGUACGGGAAGAAACACUCCUACGUGUAGGAGCUUGACGGUACCGUAAGAAUAAGGAUCGGCUAACUCCGUGCCAGCCGCCGCUGUAA